GAGUUAAAGGUUGUAGCAGAAGCUCUUGAAAGUAGUUAUGAAGGAUUUCAAGCCAAGAAAAAUAGUCUGAACAGUCCAUAUUCAUGAGUGAACCAAGCCGGAUCAUCAGAUUCUGCAAGGAGGAACAAGGUUUACAAGUUACAACUCAGAAGACAAAAAGAGUAUAACAAGUUCAAAAUAAAGUGUCAAAUUGACAAAUCACAAUGUUCAAAAUUACUAAAGAGUGAAGGAUGGUAGGACUAGGUUCGUUGGAGUUGGAACAACUCAGUGGAGCUAUGACACAACCCAUGAAAGUUGAGUUCAUACUUCAUUCACCUCUUUGGUCUGUUGGGGUCAAUGAAAAUUUGCAACAAUGGGUGUGUUCAUGUUUUCUUCUUUAGUAACUUCAUUAAUACUUGGAACUGUAGGAUUGAGACUUGAUACAACUCCCUCACCUCACCUCCUUUGUAGAUGGGUUUUAUAGGGAUGUUAGAUGCAUUUGUGGAGUCAAGUAGUUUAGCUACGAGUUUAAUGUUUUGUGCACUACGGAACCUUAGCAUUCAGCUGUUUCAUUUUGGGUUUUAAUAAACACUGAGCCACCAUCAUUUUUAACCAUUGUGUUGUACAUUCAUUCAAUAAUCCUAAGACUCACGAGCCUAUGUGAGUCUGUCCGAGUUUACACAAACAAUCUUGUAAGCAAGUUAACUCAAUUUGAUAACUAGAGUCAUAAAUUUGAAUGA
Non-coding RNA from Cicer arietinum (chickpea), 719 nucleotides. Lineage: Eukaryota; Viridiplantae; Streptophyta; Magnoliopsida; Fabales; Fabaceae. The record is from RefSeq and is a predicted model, not a curated record.